AGUGAACGCUGGCGGUAGGCCUAACACAUGCAAGUCGAACGGCAGCACAGUAAGAGCUUGCUCUUACGGGUGGCGAGUGGCGGACGGGUGAGGAAUACAUCGGAAUCUACUUUUUCGUGGGGGAUAACGUAGGGAAACUUACGCUAAUACCGCAUACGAUCUACGGGUGAAAGCAGGGGAUCUUCGGACCUUGCGCGAUUGAAUGAGCCGAUGUCGGAUUAGCUAGUUGGCGGGGUAAGGGCCCACCAAGGCGACGAUCCGUAGCUGGUCUGAGGGGAUGAUCAGCCACCCUGGAACUGAGACACGGUCCAGACUCCUACGGGAGGCAGCAGUGGGAAAUAUUGGACAAGGGGCGCAAGCCUGAUCCAGCCAUACCGCGUGGGUGAAGAAGGCCUUCGGGUGGUAAAGCCCUUUUGUUGGGAAAGAAAAGCAGCAGGUUAAUACCCCGCUGUUCUGACGGUACCCAAAGAAUAAGCACCGGCUAACUUCGU
This 491-nucleotide ribosomal RNA is filed under the name uncultured bacterium. RNAcentral describes it as "partial 16S ribosomal RNA". It matches the Rfam family "Bacterial small subunit ribosomal RNA", at positions 29 to 506 of the family's 1533-position model. The record is from RNAcentral.